GGCAGCCUGUCAUUAUCCAGAAGCAUCGUUUUGAUCGGUUGUUGGUUGCUUCCUGCUUCUCCCUUCUUCGUCUUCUUUACAUAUGCAAUUUCCGUUUUCUUCAUUUAUCAUUUACCCGUAAAAAAGAAAAUGGCUGCAAGAGGAAGUGGAGAAGCUGUGCUUGAAUGUCUGUCUUUGUUUAUAGUACUUCACUUUUUUUUCGUAUCUGCCAACUUCUUUAAGCCGUUCAAUGUUAGCUAUGACCACCGGGCUCUGAUCAUCAAUGGUCAACGCCGUAUGCUCAUUUCCGGUGGAAUUCACUACCCUCGCGCUACUCCUGAGAUGUGGCCUGAUCUGAUAGCAAAGAGCAAGGAAGGUGGGGUAGAUGUUAUUCAAACUUAUGUGUUUUGGAAUGGGCAUGAGCCAGUUAAAGGACAGUAUUUCUUUGAAGGAAGGUAUGAUAUUGUCAAGUUUGUGAAGCUAGUGGGAGCUAGUGGACUCUAUCUUCAUCUCCGCAUAGGUCCUUAUGUUUGCGCUGAAUGGAAUUUUGGGGGCUUCCCUGUGUGGCUGCGUGAUAUCCCUGGCAUAGUAUUUCGAACAAACAACGAUCCUUUUAAGGAGGAGAUGCAGCGGUUUGUGAAAAAGAUUGUGGAUCUAAUGCGGGAGGAAAUGCUAUUCUCUUGGCAGGGUGGCCCAAUCAUCUUGUUGCAGAUUGAAAAUGAAUAUGGAAACAUUGAACACUCAUUUGGGCCAGGGGGAAAGGAAUAUGUUAAGUGGGCUGCCAGGAUGGCUGUAGGGCUCGGUGCUGGGGUUCCAUGGAUAAUGUGCAGGCAAACUGAUGCCCCUGAGAACAUUAUAGAUGCUUGCAAUGCAUAUUAUUGUGAUGGUUAUAAGCCAAAUUCCCAUAAGAAACCAAUAUUUUGGACAGAAGAUUGGGAUGGAUGGUAUACAACUUGGGGUGGGAGGUUGCCUCAUAGGCCGGUUGAAGACCUUGCAUUUGCAGUUGCACGCUUUUUUGAACGUGGGGGGAGCUUCCAGAAUUAUUAUAUGUAUUUUGGUGGAACAAACUUUGGUCGGACUGCUGGAGGCCCCUUCUAUAUAACUAGUUAUGACUAUGAUGCUCCAAUUGAUGAAUAUGGUCUGCUGAGUGAGCCCAAGUGGGGGCAUUUGAAAGAUCUGCAUGCUACUAUAAAGCUUUGUGAACCAGCUCUAGUUGCUGCAGAUUCACCUCAGUACAUAAAAUUGGGAUCCAAGCAAGAGGCACAUGUGUACCGUAUAGAUUCUCACACUGACGGCCUGAACUCAACUUGGCAUGAAAGUCAAAGUGGGUGCUCGGCAUUUCUUGCAAAUAUUGAUGAAUGCAAAGCAGCUACUCUGAGAUUCCUUGGUCAAUCAUAUACUUUACCACCAUGGUCAGUGAGUAUAUUACCAGACUGCAGGAAUGCUGUGUUCAACACUGCCAAGGUUACAGCACAAACUUCUAUCAAAUCUGUAGAGCUUGAUUUGUCUUAUCUUUCAAAUGUUUCUUCACUUCAGCAAUUCAUGGCUCAGAAUGAAGGUUCUAAUAUGCAAACAUCCUGGGUGACAAUAAAAGAGCCAAUUAGUGUUUGGAGUGAGAACAAUUUUACAGUUGAAGGCAUAUUGGAGCAUUUGAAUGUAACAAAGGAUCAAUCUGACUAUCUUUGGUAUUUCACCAGAAUAUAUGUUUCUGAUGAGGACAUUGCGUUUUGGGAGGAAAACAAAGUUAGACCUGCAGUUACAAUAGAUAGCAUACGUGAUGUGUUCCGUGUAUUUAUUAACGGUCAGCUUGCAGGCAGUGUGAUUGGUCGGUGGGAUAAGGUGAUGCAGCCAGUUCAGUUUCAGAAGGGAUACAAUGACUUGGUGUUGUUGUCUCAAACAGUGGGUUUGCAGAAUUAUGGUGCCUUCUUAGAAAGAGAAGGAGCAGGUUUUAAAGGCCAAACUAAGCUUACCGGAUUUAAGGAUGGGGAUAUAGACCUCUCGAACUUGUUAUGGACCUACCAGGUGGGACUUCAGGGUGAGUAUCUUAAAAUAUACGGCCAGGGAAAUAAUGAAAUGGUAGAAUGGACUGAUUUGACGCAUGAUGACAUUCCAUCAACAUUUACAUGGUACAAGACUUACUUUGAUGCACCGGCUGGGGCUGACCCAGUUGCUCUUGAUUUGGGAAGCAUGGGAAAGGGUCAGGCAUGGGUCAAUGGCCACCAUAUAGGAAGAUACUGGACACUGGUUGCUCCUGAAGAUGGAUGCCAAAGAAAUUGUGAUUAUCGGGGAGCCUACAGUUCUGGGAAAUGUACAACAAAUUGUGGGAAUCCUACUCAAACCUGGUACCACAUCCCACGGUCAUGGUUACGUGCAUCAAAUAAUUUGCUUGUGUUAUUCGAGGAGACAGGAGGAAAUCCAUUUGAAAUUUCAAUAAAGUUGCGUUCAGCCCGUGUGAUCUGUGCUCAAGUGUCACAAACCCACUAUCCACCUCUUCAGAAGUGGGUCCAUCCAGAUUUUAUUGGUGGAAAUAUUUCAGUUAAAGAUAUGACACCAGAAAUACAGUUACAGUGUCAAGAUGGAUAUAUAAUCUCCUCCAUAGAAUUUGCUAGCUAUGGAACUCCUCAAGGGAGCUGCCAGAAAUAUUCUAGAAGCAAUUGCCAUGCACCCAAUUCAUUAUCUGUAGUGGCCAAGGCUUGUGAAGGAAGAAGCAAAUGCAAUAUUUCAGUUUCAAAUGCUGCAUUUGGAGGUGACCCAUGCCAUGGCAUUGUUAAAACAUUGGCCGUUGAGGCAAGAUGCGUCUCAUCAACAAAAGUUGGUUCCUUUCAGUAUUGAAGUCACAAGCUGUCAGUGUAGUUGACGAUCCUAAAGCAUAGAACAUCGCAGAUUGGCAUUUUAUGAUAUUAUCAACUCCUGCCCAUAUUUUCAAGUGAGUUGAUCAGAGAUGUUUCAAUGCUGGAAGCCAUUUAUAUAGGAUUCUUUGGAGUUUGGAGGCUUGUGUAGGUGUUGGGAACAACACUGGUAUCUGUAACUUAUUACUGAACUAAAAUAUUUGUCUCUAUACAUUAACACUCGCAGUCGCAGAGAUGUUCACAAAAAAUUUCUUGCUGAAUUAUCCUCUCUUCCGAGCCAUGGACUGAUAUAAAAUACUUGGAAAUGUCAGCAUGUGGAUCUACUACAGCCUAGUCUAUCAAAGAAAAGUCACCGUACUAUGAUGAAUGAUGACACAUUAAUUUUCGAGACAAGAAGACGUAUGGCGAGGGAUAAAGUUUGGCUGAUUGUGGUUACUACGAGGUGUGAUGAAUGAUGAUAGUUCCGCUGCCGCGUAAUUUUGCAUCGUUCAAACAAGGAUAUACCAUUGUCAAGAAUCAUAUACUCCUAUGGAUUCUUCUAAUGUGUGAUUUAUAAUAAUGAGGUUGAAUAUAUAUUCUUACCCUUGAAUUUUACUAAAAAAGUUUUGUGGCGUUUUUAAUUGUCUUAAUUCUGUAAACAUUUCAUGAUAAAUUAAACUUCUGUAAAAGUAAAAU
Molecule: unclassified non-coding RNA, 3503 nt
Filed under: Hevea brasiliensis (rubber tree)
Lineage: Eukaryota; Viridiplantae; Streptophyta; Magnoliopsida; Malpighiales; Euphorbiaceae
Source: RNAcentral